Triplophysa rosa is the source of this 8112-nucleotide long non-coding RNA. RefSeq lists it as uncharacterized. The transcript has 3 exons. Lineage: Eukaryota; Metazoa; Chordata; Actinopteri; Cypriniformes; Nemacheilidae. The record is from RefSeq and is a predicted model, not a curated record.
UUGUGCUUAUGAGAGCUCGUCGUCUGCAGUUGAAUUUUCGGCUACAGGAGGAAGGAAAAUAUUGCUUAAAAUCGAUUUUUACACUUUUUCGAAUAAUCCGUUUUACUUGGAUUUUUUACCUCACGCCUUUUUCACAGAAACGGCUUCUCGCUCAAAAGGCAAGCCGGGACAGUGAGUCGUUUAGCGGCCCAUGCAGCCAUAACGAGUUCGUGGUCCAGCAUCAGCUCACUGGAGGAGCAUCUCUGACCCCUACUCCUUAUAAUCAGCCCAGAGACCCACUUAAAGGUCUGUUUGGAGCGUGGGUUUGUUCCUACACUUUCACCAAACCUCCAUCUGUCUCUAACUCCACCUGCCCAGUAGGGGGCUGACCACUCAUUGGACACCCCAAAACAUGUCCUCCAUCUUGCCUUUCACCCCGCCCGUGGUAAAGCGUCUUCUGGGCUGGAAGAAGUCAGCCAGUGGGUCGAGUGGAGCAGGAGGGGGAGGAGAACAGAAUGGCCAGGAGGAGAAAUGGUGCGAGAAGGCUGUCAAAAGUCUAGUGAAGAAGCUGAAGAAAACGGGUCAACUGGACGAGCUGGAGAAAGCCAUCACAACACAGAACUGCAACACCAAGUGUGUCACUAUCCCCAGGUACGCCAGCAACAGAACACCUCACUAGUUUGCUUUUCUUGAUCAGUGUUGUCUUACAUUUUCGCUUUGCAAUUUUUAAUGUUUACAGUUUAAAACUUAAAGUUGUAGUUCACCUGAAUAUAAAAUUGUCAUUUACUCAUCCUCAUGUAAUUCCAAACCCAUAUGCUGUUGUUUUAAUUGUUUUUUGUAAAAAAAUUCAAAAUCACAGCAAGCAAAAUUUAGGUAAUCCUUCUGCACAUAUGUAGGUAUUCUAGACAUACAGUAGCUUUGUGCGAGGGGCAUGCAAAAAUAUUUUCCCUUUGCUGAAGCUCAGGAAUAUUAUUUGCGUCCACAUGUGGAAAUAGCUUGACAUCAAUCGUCAUCGGUUCCAGGCCCAACGGGAUAUAUGCAUGAUAGGUAAUGACAUUUAAGAGCUGCUGCGAGGGGGGAAAGCUUUUUGUGAAUAAUGGCAGUAUUAGUCUUUCCUCACUUUACGGAGUCUGGAUGCAUGGACAUGUGUAUCCAUUUUAGAGCUUGACAGAGGUCAUCAUGGACAGUUGUUGUAUAGACAGGAAUUGCAAAAGCUGCUGUGGAAAAGAGCAUGCCCUUUGAAAUAGUGACGGUACCAAAACCCAGUGUUAAAUGGGCCCUGGAGCUAAAUUAUAAACGACUGGAGUGUCGAUAACAUCCCCACUUAUCGGUUCUGCUUUCGGUACGUGAAAUAAAAAAAAACACACUUAUUAUGAAGUAAACUUUAUCUUGCGCAUUUUCUCUCAUCAACAAUUUCUAAUUUGAUGCUUGUUCGCUAUUCCCAAUUUUGCAGAGCGCACGUACUUGUGCCUGGCUCAGCACUGCAAAUCUCCACGCUUGCGUCUCCCAAAAUGGACAAACGUUUAAACAGUGUUUCCUACAGGAUUUAGUGAAACUAUACCGCUGGAUGGCAUCACACGCUAAUUAACAUAUUUGUGAUGUUUUUGUGUCACAUUUGCGUUAAGACGAGUGUUGGCACUUUUUUCUGUUUUAAUUCUACUUUCUGAACUGUCACAUUCUGUAUUUUAAUACAGCUUAAUGCCCAAUAAAGGCAUUCUCAUUUGCAUAUUUUUUGUUUCUGUUGUCAGACGUGAAAGGCGUGUAAAAUAGUAAAUAAACGUGACAUUAUUACUACAACCAGCAGUCACUUUCUGAAUUGCUGAAGUCCUGAUUUAUAACCACAACAUUGUCUUGUCUGUUAAACGCACCAUACACCUACCUUAACAUAUGGCUGCACGAUUUUGGCCGUAUUACUUAUUUGUCUUAUGCAACGCACAACCUCCGUCUGGGUAAACUGUGCAUUUCUACAGUCGAACUAUGUUCAUGUUCAUACUCCAUAUCCAAACAGUCAGUAACACUGGCUUGCUUGGAAACACAGUUUUCUACUCAUUCCUAUAUGUUUAAGUUUCCCUACUGUAAUUUGAGUGCUGCUUCUCCCUGCUGCUCUCUCAAGCAAUCCUGCACCGGUCAAGCCAGGAUGUUAUAUAAAUGUUAUAUAAAGGUUAUAAAUUGAUCUACAUUUCAGUCAGUGAAAUAAGUAUUUGAUCCCAGAGAAAAAAUAACUUCGUACUUGGUGGAGAAACCCUUGUUUGCAAGCAGAGAGGUAAGACAUUUCUGAUAGUUGGUCACCAGGUUUGCACAUGUGUCAGGAUACAUUUUACUCCACUCCUCUGUCAAUCUUUAAGGGUUCUUGGCUGUCACUCAGUAAAUUGGAGUUUUAGCCUCCUUCACAGAUGUUCUAUAGGACUAGGGUCUAGAGACUGGCUAGGACAUUUAAUGUGCUUCUCCUUAAGCCACUCUUUGGUUGUCUUGGCAAUAUGUUUUGGGUCUUUGUCAUGUUAAAGGCACAUCCAUGACCCAUCUUCAGUGAUCUAGUUAAGGGGAGGAGGUUCUUGUCCAAGAUUUUACGGUACAUGGGCCUGUCCCUCAGCCCCUCAAUGCGGUGAAGUCAUCCUGUACCUGCAGCAGAGAUAAAAAGCCCUAAAGCAUAAUGUUUCCAACAAUGUGCUUCUCUGUAGGGAUGGUGUUCUUGGGGUCAUAGUCAGCAUUUCUCUCCCUCCAAAAACAGGAGUCAAUUUUGGUCUCACAGCAGUGCCAAAGCACUUUCGCCAAAGCCUUUUCUGAAUCAUUUUGAUGUUCAUUGUCAAACUUUAGACGAGCCAGGCGGGUCUUCUUGGGCAGGAGGACCUUGCGGGUGCUUCAGGAUUUCAAUCUAUUGUGGCAUAGCGUAGGGCUGUGCCGAUAAACGAUAUCAUAUCGAAUCGCGAUAGAAUGUAUUUCAAAAACGAUGACAAGCUAUUGGCAUUUUGACUCGAUAUGGAUUAAUCUUACAGUCUAACAGAACGCAGAAAUAAACGCAACAACAGUCAGUCAGUGUGCAGCUUUUAUCACGCGCGUCAAUGUACAAAGUCCAUUUCAUACUGCACUUGGCAAAGAAAACUCAACAUGGGGAGGAAAACAUGACUGGAAGCGGAAACAAAGGUGAAACUAACCUCGAGUUGUCAUCACACGGUUUAUCAAGUGUCUUAUUUUUUUCGCAAUCGCCGGUUAAACAAAACAAACUUGAGGCGCAAUUGCAAGCACGUUACUUCGAAACUCAAGCACAAACGUUUUUAUAUCCAUCGUUAACAUAUCUGCUAACAUGAGCUGGUGCUUAUGAAACAAACCAGCGCUGCCCUGUACAGAUUAGAGAUGUAAUGAAGUGAGUUUGUGUGCACAUUAAAAUAUUGAACCUUGUAUGUAAGAUGCUUGCAUGAUUAAAGAAAUGUACUACAAAUCCCACUACUCAAGCAAGACGUUAUUGCAGCGUUAUGUAUGUGCGCAGGUGCUGAGCCAAUAGCGUUCGAAUGUACACAGUAACGGAGCCCUUUCAUUGGUUGAAUGUACUGAACGAACACUCCCUUUACUUAACGAGUCAAUUGAGUCAAAAUGAGACUGAAUGAACUGGUACAUGUUGUUUAUGGCCUAAUAUCCUCUGUGUUGCAACAGUGCAUUAAUUUAAUUGAAUUUUAACUGGUUAAAGGUUAACUUUUGUUAAUAAACUGUAUUUAAAAUAUUCUUUUAAAUACAGUUUUUUUUAUUAAAUCUAUAUCAAAAUGCAUAUCGUUAUCGAUCAAUAUAGAAAAAAAUUAUCGAGUUUACUUUUUUGCCAUAUCGCCCAGCCCUAGCAUAGCGUGUUACCAAUGGUUUGCUUGCUAACUGUGGUCCCAACUGUCUUGAGAUCGUUAACAAGCUUCUUCCACGUAAUUCUGGGCUGAUCUUUAACCUUUCUCAUGAUCAUCUUUACUCCAUUGGGGAAAUCUUGCAGGGAGCUCCAGACCAAGGGCAAUUGAUGGUUAUUUUGUAUUUCUUCUAUUUCCAAAUAAUCGCACCAACAGUUGUCUCCUUCUCACCAAGCUUCUGUCUGUUGCCUAUUCAAGGUUUGUGCAGGUCUACAAUCUUGUCCCUGACAUCCUUUGAAACCUAUUUGGUCUGGACCAUGGUGGUGGAGAGGUUGAAAUGGAAGAUACAGAUUCUGUUGGCAGGCAUCUUUUAUAUACAUAACAAGCUGAUUUAGGAGUACCUUCUUAAAGUGACGGGACUAAUCUGCGGUCCAUAUAGGCACAUAACCAAUCUGUGGAGCCAGAAUUCUUGCUAGUUGGUAGGGGAUCAAAUACUUAUUUCACUGACUGAAAUGCAAAUCAAUUUAUAACCUUUAUAUAAAUUUUUUUCCCCUGAUUUUUUUUAAAUAUUCUGUCUCUAUCAGUUAAAAUAAACCUACCAUAAAAAUUAUAGACCCUUCAUUUCUUUGUAAGCAGGCAAACUUACAAAAACAGCAGGGGAUCAAAUAAUUAUUCCCAUCACUGUAUAUAUAUAUUUUAAAUAGCCUUAUCCGUGUCAUUCUGUGUGGUGCUCUGUGAAGGUGAAGGCAUGACGUUGAGUUGCGUCUACAGUUGUAAAAUAUCAGCUCUUUGUUUCUUUAAAUUAUUUUUUCAGCAUGUCACGACUUGAGUUAAGGUCAUUCUGUACAGCCUCACCCUUUCAUAUCAACUCUAGAACAGUCCACAUGUUUUACGAUUGCCUUUAUCAAUAAUCUGGCUAUUUUUUUCAUGUGUCCUGGCAAACGGUGCAAUAACAGGACUGCUAUUUUAGGGAAAUGCUAGAAGCAGGGCAUAAUGGGGUAGAUGGCGUACCGCAACCAUAACACAUCAAUAGAUUAAACCCAAUACUUUCCAGAUACUAUGAUUCGGUGUUCUAGCUAAAAUUAAAUCAAGAUGUUUCAUUCCUUUUGUCACUAUUCAAGAUAAAGUAUCUUUGUGCACUUCUUAGAGCUAGGCCUGUCGCGAUAGUCGCACACACACACAAUCACACCCAUGUGCAGUCGCACACGGGACGGACAGCGGCAGGUGAAAAGAGUCGAGGAGUUAUAUUGUGUUUUCCUGGUGAAUAAAGCCAGUUCGGAAUACUGUAGUAGGCCUUAAUUGGCUUGGUGUCAAAGCCACAAACCUCCCACUCCGAUAUGAAAACAAAGGAGCGCGUGAGCAAGACGCUCCACUCUUUAAAGGGGCGAUGAAUUAAGACCUCAAUUUUAACAUGAGCUUUUGUUAUAUAAGAGGGAAUCGUAUUCAAGCGAACUGAACUGCGUCAAAGCGUCAGAACUGAAAACGGCCUUGUUACUGAGAUUACAACUGUUAUUGACACCAGGCUCAGCGAACGCCAGGUCCUGGAAUGCACCUAUGGUUGAACACCGCCUCCACAGAAAAACAUCAACGACUACUUCUCUAGCCCCACCCACUGGUUCACGCAUGACAGUGCUGAAGUAACAUAAGUUGCACGGAACCAGAUAGAGCGAGCAAGCAAUAAACAUGCCGUUAAAGAUAGCAAAAUAUUGUGGAGUCAGUGCCUGGUUGUGGAAGAACACAGUCGCUGCAUAACCUUCCUUCGGAUUCCGACAUUAGUAAUGCGUGGUUGAAGUUUAUUUUUAAAGAGGUUACAGCUCACGUGGGUAAAACAUUACCGCGGAUUGCUUUGUGAACAAGGCACAGGUUGACGAUGGAUUUGCGGAGAGACUAAAAUUAAAAAGCAGUGCUGUGCCGUCAAUAUUGGAUCCGAUAGGAAUCACAAUCUUAUGUGAGUACAACAUUUUUGUACAUUGUGUCACUAUUGCUUUAUUAGAGAUUGCUGGAUAUGCCCUGCGUAACUUAACCAUACGUCUCUAACCAAAUUCACAGAAGGCUCCAACUAAGUUUACUACGCAAACUGCUAUCCAAUCAUAGCAGUGGGCGUUUACUUCCAAGUCUUCAUGGCACCCAUUCAAACCGAUUGUUUGUCAAGCCGGCCUCAAAACCCAGGUAGAAAAUAGCCUAUUACUUAUUCAUUUUGAUGUUUUUGAAUGUAAAAACCAUGAGAACGUCAUAAGUAGACCUCAUACAACAGUAUAAAACAAUAAACAAGCCCAGUUCAUCACACCUUUAAAUACGGAGGUAACGGAAAAAGCAAUACAACUGAUUAAAACAAAAGCCGCAUUUGGAGCUCUAGAGAGGUCUUACAGACAGUUAAGUUAAAUAUGUCAUGUCACAUGUAUGAAUACACCUUAGACUAGGGAUGUUAAUGAUUAAUCGACGAUCGAUUAAUUGUUGAUAACAGUUUACUCGAAAUAACUUAAUGAUGAUCGAGUUCAAAGUCAUGCACGCGUGUGGCUUAUGCGCAUAACAAAUACAGCAGACUCAUGGAAAAACGCAAUGGCUAUCCACUUAUUACAUUACUUGGCUACCGACACACCUUAGUUUUGCAUUUUUCUUUUAUAGAAAUAAAAAGAAAGUUCAUUUGAACAAUGGACGCAAUAGUUUGCGAGGUGCACGUCUGUCAGUGGGAGCUGCAGCCCUUGCAGUCGUGAGGCGCAAUGCGAUUGACAGGUCAAGGCGGAGGAGAGCUUUUAUUAAUAAAAGUUUUAUUUCUUCGUUUAAUAUAAGUAGCGUUGUCCUUGUUUUAUUGUUGCAUUUUUAUUUAAAAUAAUAAUAAACCACGAACUGUGUUGAAGUAAGGGGAACAUCAGAAGAUCUUUGAAUUUAUUUACGUUACAAAACAGGUACAAUGUUGUCAGUCUUAUUCAUUUUGUUAAUAAACAUUCUGUUUCAUAUAAGCAAGUUUGUCAGUGUACAAUUUUUUUGUUGUUUAAUUAAAAGUAAAUAAUAAAUGAAUAACUAUUGGUAUCAAAAGAAAAUGUUGUUUUCCUUUGGAUACCAUCCGCAUUUGUUAGUAAAAGUUUACCAUAAGUGCGUUUGUAAUGAUAUUAGGCUAUUUUAUGAUUGUUGAGUUUUUAUAUUCUUUUAUAUGAAUAAUAAUGAAGAAACAUUUUAAGCAUUUUUUGUCAAAGAAAAAAGAUCUAAAGCUGCAGAUCAAAAUAAGCGAUUUAUUCAGGUGAGGAAGAUGGUGUUUUGCGUGACUUUUGUGUGCUGUCAUGCCUACACUCACCUAAAGGAUUAUUAGGAACACCUGUUCAAUUUCUCAUUAAUGCAAUUAUCUAAUCAACCAAUCACAUGGCAGUUGCUUCAAUGCAUUUAGGGGUGUGGUCCUGGUCAAGACAAUCUCCUGAACUCCAAACUGAAUGUCAGAAUGGGAAAGAAAGGUGAUUUAAGCAAUUUUGAGCGUGGCAUGGUUGUUGGUGCCAGACGGGCCGGUCUGAGUAUUUCACAAUCUGCUCAGUUACUGGGAUUUUCACGCACAACCAUUUCUAGGGUUUACAAAGAAUGGUGUGAAAAGGCAAAAACAUCCAGUAUGCGGCAGUCCUGUGGGCGAAAAUGCCUUGUUGAUGCUAGAGGUCAGAGGAGAAUGGGCCGACUGAUUCAAGCUGAUAGAAGAGCAACUUUGACUGAAAUAACCACUCGUUACAACCGAGGUAUGCAGCAAAGCAUUUGUGAAGCCACAACACGCACAACCUUGAGGCAGAUGGGCUACAACAGCAGAAGACCCCACCGGGUACCACUCAUCUCCACUACAAAUAGGAAAAAGAGGCUACAAUUUGCAUGAGCUCACCAAAAUUGGACAGUUGAAGACUGGAAAAAUGUUGCCUGGUCUGAUGAGUCUCGAUUUCUGUUGAGACAUUCAAAUGGUAGAGUCAGAAUUUGGCGUAAACAGAAUGAGAACAUGGAUCCAUCAUGCCUUGUUACCACUGUGCAGGCUGGUGGUGGUGGUGUAAUGGUGUGGGGGAUGUUUUCUUGGUACACUUUAGGCCCCUUAGUGCCAAUUGGGCAUCGUUUAAAUGCCACGGCCUACCUGAGCAUUGUUUCUGACCAUGUCCAUCCCUUUAUGACCACCAUGUACCCAUCCUCUAAUGGCUACUUCCAGCAGGAUAAUGCACCAUGUCACAAAGCUCGAAUCAUUUCAAAUUGGUUUCUUGAACAUGACAAUGAGUUCACUGUACUAGAAUGGCCCCCACAGUCACCAGAUCUCAACCCGAUAGAACAUCUUUGGGAUGUGGUGGAACGGGAGCUU